RNAcentral lists this ribosomal RNA (242 nucleotides) under uncultured bacterium. RNAcentral's name for it is "partial 16S ribosomal RNA". It matches the Rfam family "Bacterial small subunit ribosomal RNA", at positions 113 to 354 of the family's 1533-position model. The record is from RNAcentral.
CGACGUGAGGAACCUGCCUUUCAGAGGGGGGACAACAGUUGGAAACGACUGCUAAUACCGCAUAACACAUAGGUGUCGCAUGGCAUUUAUGUCAAAGAUUUAUCGCUGAAAGAUGGCCUCGCGUCUGAUUAGCUAGUUGGUGAGGUAACGGCUCACCAAGGCGACGAUCAGUAGCCGGACUGAGAGGUUGGCCGGCCACAUUGGGACUGAGAUACGGCCCAAACUCCUACGGGAGGCAGCAG